Molecule: long non-coding RNA, 349 nt
Organism: Erigeron canadensis
Lineage: Eukaryota; Viridiplantae; Streptophyta; Magnoliopsida; Asterales; Asteraceae
Exons: 2
Source: RefSeq, a predicted model, not a curated record
AUAUGGAUUAUAGAGGACCCUAAAAGUGACCAAACAUGUAUGUUAACCAUCACAUUACUAUCCCGGCAUUUCCUUUGUGCGACAUGGCGUAAUUGCCCAAUUGAAGGUAAAGAAAAAGGGAAUUGUGUAGAUGUGGUCUCAGUAUUACGAGUGAUUUUGAAUCAUGUGACCGUGACUGUCUUCAUAUGGAUGAAGUUAUGCGGAGAAGAAAAAGAAACUGAUGACAAUAUAUCACGACUCACGAGAUGAGUGAUAAACUACACAAAAUGACAUAAUGAGUACUAUGUUGUAAAUUUACAAAGCCGGGUUCCCCACUAAUACAAAUUUAAAUGUCUACCACAUUUUGUUA